UACAGAGGUCCCAAGCGUUGUUCGGAUUCACUGGGCGUAAAGGGUGCGUAGGCGGUUGGGUAAGUCUGUCGUGAAAUCUCCGAGCCUAACUCGGAAACUGCGUCGGAUACUAUUCAACUCGAGGAAUGGAGGGGAGACUGGAAUUCUCGGUGUAGCAGUGAAAUGCGUAGAGAUGCGGCGGAACACCGAUGGCGAAGGCAGCCCCCUGGGCUGAGAUUGACGCUCAGGCACGAAAGCGUGGGGAGCAAACAGG
RNAcentral lists this ribosomal RNA (253 nucleotides) under uncultured bacterium. RNAcentral's name for it is "partial 16S ribosomal RNA". It matches the Rfam family "Bacterial small subunit ribosomal RNA", at positions 524 to 776 of the family's 1533-position model. The record is from RNAcentral.